CCUACGGGGGGCAGCAGUGAGGAAUAUUGGUCAAUGGACGAGAGUCUGAACCAGCCAAGUAGCGUGAAGGAUGACUGUCCUAUGGGUUGUAAACCUCUUUUAUCUGGGAAUAAAAUGUUCCACGUGUGGGAUUCUGUAUGUACCAUAAGAAUAAGCAUCGGCUAACUCCGUGCCAGCAGCCGCGGUAAUACGGAGGAUCCGAGCGUUAUCCGGAUUUAUUGGGUUUAAAGGGUGCGUAGGUGGAAUGUUAAGUCAGUUGUGAAAGUUUGGGGCUCAACCGUAAAAUUGCGGUUGAAACUGGCAGUCUUGAGUACAGUAGAGGUAGGCGGAAUGCGUGGUGUAGCGGUGAAAUGCUUAGAUAUCACGAAGAACUCCGAUUGCGAAGGCAGUUCACUGGACUGAAACUGACGCUGAGGCACGAAAGUGUGGGUAUCAAACAGGAUUAGAUACCCGGGUAGUC
This 460-nucleotide ribosomal RNA is filed under the name uncultured bacterium. RNAcentral describes it as "partial 16S ribosomal RNA". It matches the Rfam family "Bacterial small subunit ribosomal RNA", at positions 338 to 795 of the family's 1533-position model. The record is from RNAcentral.